This 744-nucleotide ribosomal RNA is filed under the name uncultured bacterium. RNAcentral's name for it is "bacterial SSU rRNA". It matches the Rfam family "Bacterial small subunit ribosomal RNA", at positions 57 to 859 of the family's 1533-position model. The record is from RNAcentral.
GCAGUCGAACGAUAUAGUGGCAGACGGGUGAGUAACGCGUGGGGAUGUGCCCUUCAGUACGGAAUAGCUCCUGGAAACGGGUGGUAAUACCGUAUACGCCCUUAGGGGGAAAGAUUUAUCGCUGAAGGAUCAACCCGCGUUAGAUUAGCUAGUUGGUGAGGUAAUGGCUCACCAAGGCUACGAUCUAUAGCUGGUCUGAGAGGAUGAUCAGCCACACUGGGACUGAGACACGGCCCAGACUCCUACGGGAGGCAGCAGUGGGGAAUCUUGCACAAUGGGCGAAAGCCUGAUGCAGCCAUGCCGCGUGAAUGAUGAAGGCCCUAGGGUUGUAAAAUUCUUUCGCCAGGGAUGAUAAUGACAGUACCUGGUAAAGAAGCUCCGGCUAACUUCGUGCCAGCAGCCGCGGUAAUACGAAGGGGGCUAGCGUUGUUCGGAAUUACUGGGCGUAAAGCGCACGUAGGCGGAUUAUUAAGUCAGAUGUGAAAUCCCGAGGCUCAACCUCGGAACUGCAUUUGAAACUGGUAGUCUAGAGAUCAGGAGAGGUUAGUGGAAUACCGAGUGUAGAGGUGAAAUUCGUAGAUAUUCGGUGGAACACCAGUGGCGAAGGCGACUAACUGGACUGAUACUGACGCUGAGGUGCGAAAGUGUGGGGAGCAAACAGGAUUAGAUACCCUGGUAGUCCACACCGUAAACGAUGAGAGCUAGUUGUCUGCAGGCAUGCCUGUAGGUGACGCAGCUAACGCA